This 410-nucleotide transfer-messenger RNA is filed under the name Mycoplasma sp. CSL7491-lung. It matches the Rfam family "transfer-messenger RNA". Rfam says of the family: Bacterial tmRNA, also known as 10Sa RNA or SsrA, is named for its dual tRNA and mRNA-like properties. Lineage: Bacteria; Bacillati; Mycoplasmatota; Mollicutes; Mycoplasmatales; Mycoplasmataceae. The record is from RNAcentral. RNAcentral also lists the same sequence under 3 other names.
GGGGGUAUAAUGGUUUCGACAUAUAUAGGUUUUAUUAUAUUGCAGUAGUGUUGAGGACUAUAAUCUCUACUAGGCUUUUUAAACGGAAACGAUAAAAAAGAAAACGAAGAAUUUAACUUUUCUUCACCAGCGUUUUACGCUAACUCAAAUCUUGCAUUCGCUUAAUAUUUAGCGUCAAGUUGUGUUUAUGCAACUCCUUUAGUAUAAACAUAGGUUUUAAAGGAUAAAAUAAAAGGGUGGUGUCUUUUAUUUGAAAUUCACUAUUUAUUUUAAGAAUGAGGAAUUUUGUUAGUUUAAUUACUUAAAAUGAAUUAUUUGCCUCUUUAAAAAAUAUUCAAAACUAAAUAAACUGUAGAAGUAUGAUAAUAAUUUAUGUGUGGACACGGGUUCGACUCCCGUUACCUCCACCA